Molecule: ribosomal RNA, 516 nt
Filed under: uncultured bacterium
Lineage: Bacteria
Description: partial 16S ribosomal RNA
Rfam family: Bacterial small subunit ribosomal RNA
Source: RNAcentral
GACGAACGCUGGCGGCGUGCCUAAUACAUGCAAGUCGAGCGGAGUAGAUGGAGUGCUUGCACUCUUGAUACUUAGCGGCGGACGGGUGAGUAACACGUAGGCAACCUGCCCGUAAGACUGGGAUAACUACCGGAAACGGUAGCUAAUACCGGAUAAGCAAGUUUCUCGCAUGAGAGACUUGGGAAAGGCGGAGCAAUCUGUCACUUACGGAUGGGCCUGCGGCGCAUUAGCUAGUAGGUAGGGUAACGGCCUACCUAGGCGACGAUGCGUAGCCGACCUGAGAGGGUGAACGGCCAAACUGGGACUGAGACACGGCCCAGACUCCUACGGGAGGCAGCAGUAGGGAAUCUUCCGCAAUGGACGAAAGUCUGACGGAGCAACGCCGCGUGAGUGAAGAAGGUUUUCGGAUCGUAAAGCUCUGUUGCCAGGGAAGAACGUCUUUUGGAGUAACUGCCAGGAGAGUGACGGUACCUGAGAGGAAAGCCCCGGCCAACUACGUGCCAGCAGCCGCCGUAA